This 74-nucleotide transfer RNA is filed under the name Acidobacteriota bacterium. RNAcentral's name for it is "Acidobacteria bacterium (rhizosphere metagenome) tRNA-Glu". It matches the Rfam family "tRNA". Rfam says of the family: Transfer RNA (tRNA) molecules are approximately 80 nucleotides in length. Their secondary structure includes four short double-helical elements and three loops (D, anti-codon, and T loops). The record is from RNAcentral. Lineage: Bacteria; Pseudomonadati; Acidobacteriota.
GGGGCGUUAGCCAAGCCCGGUAAGGCGCGCGAUUCUCUAUCGCGUAAGCGCGGGUUCGAAUCCCGCACGCCCUG